This is a long non-coding RNA of Humulus lupulus (European hop), 1689 nucleotides long. RefSeq lists it as uncharacterized. The record is from RefSeq and is a predicted model, not a curated record. The transcript is spliced from 2 exons. NCBI's taxonomy places the organism in Eukaryota, Viridiplantae, Streptophyta, Magnoliopsida, Rosales, Cannabaceae.
UAAAAAUUAUAAUAGUAAUUAUUAUUACUAUUAUGAGCAUAAUAGUAAUAAUAAUAUGCUUGAAAUUAUUUUAUCUUAUUAUGUGUAAUUUUUGAUUUACCAUAAUAUUAAAUAUUAGAAUUUGUGAAAAGACCAUAAUACCCUCAAGUAUGGGAUUGGUUCAAGGGGCAUUUUAGAGACUUUAUUUCUUCUGUUUUAACAUGAUUAAAUAUUCAUAAAAUUGAUUAAAUUUUUGAAAUUUAACUGAUAAUAUCAGUUGUGGAACUUAGUCAAUUUAUUUUAUUUUUUUUUAAAGAAAAUAAAUAAAUAAAUUCCUUGAAAAGAGGAUUUUACCACUUCAAACGCUAAUUUAUUUUUUUUAAAACCUAUUUCCAAAACGUGUUACCAUGAUAAUCUGAUGAAGAAAUCGUGGGAAUAUUGAGGGAAUCAAAGGAUUGAAGAGAGAGAGUGUUCUUAUCGUUUUUUUUAAAGAGAAGAAAUUUUUGAGUUCUUGCACUUGGGAAAAAUCUGGGCAGUAAAGAGCAUUGUAGAAUCAUUCUAGGGGAGGAAAUAAACAUUUUGAGUGUGAGAAAUACAUUUAUAAAGCCUCGGAUUGUGAUUCACCAUUUUUAUCCAAGAAAAUGCAUAUUCUUGGAUAAUUUUGGAUUUAAGUGUGUUCAAGAGUGUAUGGUGUGUGUGGGUGGUGAUAAACAAGCUUAGGGGACUCCAAUAAUCGGUUUUGACGUGAAGAAAUGGGCUGAAAUGGUCUAGAGCAAGAAAAACUAAUUUUGAGCUCCAUUUUUGGCGGUACACCGGACUUGGAGAAGAAGACUUCGGAACAAGGGGUUACGGACAUCUUUUUGGGCUGGGGUCUAUUGAUUUGAAGUUCUGGACAUAAGGGGAUCAUUUUCCAAGCAAGAGAAGGAUUGGAAAGCAGCAAAAGUCAGCCAUAGAGUCGCCGUCGCCGGAGAAGAAGACAAAACCGGCGAUAUUUCCGGCGAACCCGAUCUGGGUGUUUACUGAGGAGCUAGUGGUCAUCGAGGUGACGCAGCGAGUGGUUCGAGACACGUCAGCGGAAAACGCACUGUGUAAGGUAAGAAGAGUGGACAUCUGCGCAUAGGGUGUACGUUAUGCGUACAACCUUGUUUUCUUAUUUGUUAGUUAUGUAAUUAUAUUUGUGACCUGAAUUGUUGCAUUAGGUUGACUAGCAUGAGGAUAGUGCUAGAGAUUUUAGUUAGUAGACAUGCUAAGAGGAUAGAGUAGGCGUGCUACUAGAUUUUAGCUGCUUGUGUGAGUAUAGCACUUGCAGGAAUUAUCUUGGGUGUGUAUAACUCAUGAUAAUAGGAUGCCACCACGGAACUGCCGAGUGUGAGUACAGCGCAGGCAGGGCAACGAUGUCUCGAGGGAACGGCCGAGUGUGAGUACAGCGCAGGCUAGACUAGUAGCCACCGUGGGAAUGCCGAGUGUGAGUACAGCGCAGGCAAGGCAGAUUACAUUUCAUGUCCGAUCAACAUGACUUGUUAGUAUUUAUGUGUGUGAGUGUAACUCACAUUAUGUUAGUGUGAUAUGGUGUUUAUAUAUCACACGAUGAUUAUUGUGCUUAUGAUGUUUAUUUAUGUUUAGUUGAAAGUUUAUGUUUUCUGGUUUGGGGAGUUAUGUCCUACAUAGCUCUUCUUACUGGGCGUUAGCUCACGGGUACUCUGUGUGCAG